RNAcentral lists this ribosomal RNA (253 nucleotides) under uncultured bacterium. RNAcentral describes it as "partial 16S ribosomal RNA". It matches the Rfam family "Bacterial small subunit ribosomal RNA", at positions 524 to 776 of the family's 1533-position model. The record is from RNAcentral.
UACGUAGGGUCCGAGCGUUGUCCGGAAUUAUUGGGCGUAAAGGGCUCGUAGGCGGUCUGUUGCGUCGGGAGUGAAAACUUACAGCUUAACUGUGAGCGUGCUUUCGAUACGGGCAGACUUGAGGCAUUCAGGGGAGAACGGAAUUCCUGGUGUAGCGGUGAAAUGCGCAGAUAUCAGGAGGAACACCGGUGGCGAAGGCGUCGACCUGGGUCGAGACUGACGCUGAGGCGCGAAAGCGUGGGGAGCAAACAGG